GACGUACUUGUACUGAUUGAGAUUUUAACACGAAGUGAGUGGCGAACGGGUGAGUAACACGUGGGUAACCUGCCCAGAAGUAGGGGAUAACACCUGGAAACAGAUGCUAAUACCGUAUAACAGAGAAAACCGCAUGGUUUUCUUUUAAAAGAUGGCUCUGCUAUCACUUCUGGAUGGACCCGCGGCGUAUUAGCUAGUUGGUGAGGUAAAGGCUCACCAAGGCAGUGAUACGUAGCCGACCUGAGAGGGUAAUCGGCCACAUUGGGACUGAGACACGGCCCAGACUCCUACGGGAGGCAGCAGUAGGGAAUCUUCCACAAUGGACGCAAGUCUGAUGGAGCAACGCCGCGUGAGUGAAGAAGGGUUUCGGCUCGUAAAGCUCU
RNAcentral lists this ribosomal RNA (383 nucleotides) under Pediococcus pentosaceus. RNAcentral's name for it is "bacterial SSU rRNA". It matches the Rfam family "Bacterial small subunit ribosomal RNA", at positions 61 to 434 of the family's 1533-position model. Lineage: Bacteria; Bacillati; Bacillota; Bacilli; Lactobacillales; Lactobacillaceae. The record is from RNAcentral.